Molecule: RNA transcript, 2057 nt
Organism: Rhinopithecus roxellana (golden snub-nosed monkey)
Lineage: Eukaryota; Metazoa; Chordata; Mammalia; Primates; Cercopithecidae
Gene name: guanine nucleotide-binding protein-like 3-like protein pseudogene
Exons: 1
Source: RefSeq, a predicted model, not a curated record
UUAGAAACAAAAAAUGAAAAGCCAGGUAAAAGUUCCAAGGGCUGUAAGAAGCCUGCAAAACGACAUGGGAAGAAAGCAACCUCCAAAGUGCCCUCUGCUCCUCAGUUUGUUCAUUCCAAUGAUCAUGCCAAUCAAGAGGCUGAAUUAAAGAAGAAGAGAGUUGAGGAGAUGAGGGAGAAGCAAACUGCCCAGGAACAAGAAAGACAAAAACGCAGGUCUAUCAAGAGCUACUGUGAGGAUAUCCUAACACGCCAGGAGGAGUUUGAGCGUAAGGAGGAAGUUUUGCAGGAAUUAAAUAUGUUUCCUCAGCUGGAUGACGCGGCCACGAGGAAGGCUUAUUACAAGGAGUUCUGUAAGGUGGUAGAAUACUCUGAUGUGAUUCUGGAAGUCCUGGAUGCCACAGACCCAUUAGGCUGCUGCUGCUUCCAAAUGGAGGAGGCUGUCCUAUGGGCAGAAGGCAACGAGAAGCUGGUCCUGGUCUUGAACAAGAUUGACCUGGACCCCAAGGAGGUUGUGAAGUGGCUGGAUUACCUUCAGAAAGAGUUGCCAACUGUGGCUUUCAAGGCCAGGACCCAGCAUCAGGUCAGCUUUGGAGCUGAAAACCUCAUGAGGGUUCUGGGGAACUAUUGCCACCUUGGUGAAGUGUGCACCCACAUCAGUAUGGGUGUUGUGGGCCUUCCCAAUGUUGGGAAGAGCAGCCUGAUUAAUAGCCUGAAGCACAGCCAUGCAUGCCGUGUGGGAGCCAUUCCUGGGGUCACGAAAUUGAUGCAGGAGGUCUACCUAGGCAAGUUCAUCUGGCUGCUGGAUGCUCUAGCCAUUGUCCCACGGCCCAGCUCCGAGGUGGGCACCAUUCUGCAUAGUUGCAUCCACGUGCAGAGGCUGGCAGACCCGGUAACCCCAGUGGAGACCAUCUUGCAGAGCUGCAACCUGGAGAUUUCCAACUAUUACCUCCUCUCUGGGUACCAGACCACUGAGCACUUUCUGAUGGCAGUGGCGCACCAUUUGGGGGAGAAGAGAGACUUAUGCAGUCAGGAGCAGGCAGCCAAAGCUGUCCUAGCUGACUGGAUGAGCGGGAAGAUCAGCUUCUAUAACCACCACCACCCACUCACACUCUGCCUGCCUGUCUCAGCGCUGAGAUCAUUAAGCAAAUGACCAAGGUCUUUCACAUCAAGAAUACUGAGCAGGUCAAUGAAGACACCAUGGAAUGCUUGGCCACUGGAGAAUCUGAUGAGGUGUUGGAUGACAUGGACCCACUCAAAAUGGAGAUCAAGUUGCUCCAUUAUCCAAUGAUGAAAAUAGCAGAUGCCAUUGAAAAUAAAGCCACCAAGUAUAAGAUCAGAGAUCUCACUGGGUGUUGCACCAAUCCGAAUCGUCAUCAGAAGGGGUGGGGCUAAACUCAAUGUGGAUGACCACCCUAAAAACAACAGUGAAGUGGAUGUGUGCCCAGUGGACUGCUGCCCAGUAUUGCAGAGGAUCAUGGAGAUGGACUCCCUAAAACAGGGCCAGGCUCUGGCAUCCUCCCUAAAGAAUAAGAAGAAUACACAGAAAUGUGCAGAUAAAAUCGCCAGGGAGCUGUCUGAUUCCAUGAUGUCUGCUGUCAACCUCUCUGGCAAUGUUGAUGGCGGUGUUGAUGACUAACUGUCUGAUCUCACUUCCCUUCCGAUCCAAGCACCAGUUCCAAUGGGACGGGGGAUUACCAAUGAAAUAGUUUGGUUCUCCUUGAAGCAUCUGCGCAUUAAAAGAACCCUUCCACAACUAUGUUUCUUUCUUCCCACUGUUCUCUGCACUCUCUCCAGGAAAAAGAGCCCCAAGAGACUGGAGCUGACAAACUCAAUACCCUUUAUUUAACCCCUACUCUGUUUUAUAACAGAAAUAAAAGAAGUAUCAGCAGAAAAAAAAAAAAGAAAAGAACAUAACCCCCUCCCACCCCCCCCCCAAAAUACCAUUCUUUUGAAAAGAAUGGUUUUUGGGGGUAUUACCCCCAAAAAAUAUUCUUGGGGGAUAUUCUUUUGAAGCAAUAUUAUUCUUUUGAAAAGAAAGAGCAUUAAUAAACCAUU